UCGCUGUGAUGACUUCUUAGGACACCUUUGGAUUCUCCAUGAAAAUAAACUGAGAUUUCUGAGCGAC
Molecule: small nucleolar RNA, 67 nt
Filed under: Gouania willdenowi (blunt-snouted clingfish)
Lineage: Eukaryota; Metazoa; Chordata; Actinopteri; Blenniiformes; Gobiesocidae
Description: Small nucleolar RNA SNORD58 (ENSGWIG00000005886.1)
Rfam family: Small nucleolar RNA SNORD58
About the family: snoRNA U58 is found in introns 1, 3 and 6 of the ribosomal protein RPL17 gene in humans.
Source: Rfam by way of RNAcentral